RNAcentral lists this long non-coding RNA (942 nucleotides) under Nicotiana tabacum (common tobacco). RNAcentral describes it as "long non-coding RNA (NTAB_LNC009534)". The record is from RNAcentral. Lineage: Eukaryota; Viridiplantae; Streptophyta; Magnoliopsida; Solanales; Solanaceae.
UUUGACCCGAUGACGUGACAUGCCUAAUUGAUCAGCAAUUGCCUUUAUCAUUUUUCUCCAUUUUUUGAGUUUUCUCUUCUUUUUUUUCCCAUUUACCUCAUUCAAUAAUAAAUUUCUUCUUCUUUCGUUUACCUGUUAAUCUAAUUGACAACCCAACCGUUUCAUUUUUCCUUCAUUGAUAGUAAUAGCCCAUUAAUUUCUACCAAACCCUUUCUUCUUCCUUCUUGAUGACGACAAUUUCAAACACUAAUAUCUUUUCUUUCUCUCCAUGGAUAAAAUGAUAAUUCCUCUUUUCUUCUGGAAAUUCAUAUGUGAUAUGACUUGAAUUCAACUCAAGCUGAAAAUUUAAGGGGGAAAGGCUGGUAACUUUUUUUUCCUUUUUCUUUUUAUUCAAUCAUAAAUUCUUGGUUCAAAUAUGAUAUUCUUCACAUUUUCCUCUUUUGAUUUAUUUAUUUUAAUAGGGAAACGAUGUUGGACAGUGUUAUCAAUACAUGUCGUCACCAAAAAUUCAAGCUUCGGUCAUCUGUCUUCACUUUCUCUUGCACGUUCAAUCAUAAAUUAGAAGAAGCAUUUUUUUUUUUUUUAGUUUUUUGUAGCAAAAUAUCAAAUACUGUUAUCAUUUGUUGGUCUUAUAUUUAAUUCCUUUUUUUCUAAUUUUUUGGAGACUGACAUAUGUAUCUUCCUUUCAUCGGACUUCACAAGUCGUGCUUAUGGCGCCGGAAAAAGAGAAGAUUACUUGCCGUUCUCCUCUCGAUUUCCCCAUUGUGAGGUUUAGAACACACUAAUUUUUGAUAAGUUAAUUAACUUUAUUUGCAGUUGUGUUCUUAAUUCUAUCAAGAAAUUAUAAAAAAAAAUCGCAACGAUUUUUCCUUUUUGGAAAUAAUAGAAGCUAUUCAGAGUUGCAGGUUACUUUGCGCUAAGAGUAAAGCCUAAAUGUAGAAG